Non-coding RNA from Cucurbita pepo subsp. pepo (vegetable marrow), 4090 nucleotides. Lineage: Eukaryota; Viridiplantae; Streptophyta; Magnoliopsida; Cucurbitales; Cucurbitaceae. The record is from RefSeq and is a predicted model, not a curated record.
CCCCACUUUGUACUGCUGAACCAUACGACACUAUUGAUGAUUGUAGUUUCAAGGUUUAGAUAUUAAUGAUAUUUUCUGUUUCCUAUCAAUAGAGAAAAAGGUUUAGGAUUAUUUUUUACUAUGUGAUUCCUUUUACAAUUAAUGGUAGCAUGUUUGUGUUAAAAUAACACAAAAUAUGAACAUAUUCUAAUUCAAUAAAGACAUCUUUUGGGCUUUGCUUUUCUUUGAAAACAUGUAAUGUGAUAGAGUAAGGAAGCACAAUCUAUUACUGUAGAACUAAUGGGGAGGGGAAGAGUUAAAGAAUUACUUGAGGUUCAAUUCAAAGAAGAUUCUUCUGUGGAAAGCCUCCAAAGUUAGUUAUUUAUUGUCCGAUCAGUCUGAUUUCUUCUCUUUAUAAAAUUAUUGCCAAAGCUCUUGCUUAGAGGUUGAAGAAGGUUCUCCCUUCCACCAUAAGCGAUUGUCAAACAACCUUUGCAGUGGGUAUCCUAGAUGCCAUUCUUGUAGCUUCAGAAUUGGUUGAAGAUUUGGACGUUAAGUAACAAUAGGGGUAUGUUUUGAAGUUGGACCUUGAAAAGGCUUAGGACAAAGUCGAUUGGCACUUCCUUGAUGUUGUUCUGAAGCUAAAAGGCUUUGAUAGCUUGAGGAGAAAACGGAUAAGAGGUGGUUUCUACUGAAAAUUUCUCUGUUUUGAUUAAUGGUGAGCCUAGGGAAAAGAUUUCAGCGGUAAGAGGUUUGAGGCAAGGCCAUCCUUUGCCCCCCUUCCUCUCUCUUUCUAUCAUCAGGGAGGCUCUCAGCUGAGUGUUGCAUGAUUGUCAGGAAAGCAGAAUCUUAAAAGCUUUUCAAGUUGGGGAAGCUAUGGUCAAUAUGUCGCAUCUCCAGUACACUGAUGACAUUGUUGAGCCUUUAUGUGGAAUGGAAUACUUUGCCCGCAUUGAUUGGGGUGUUGGGUGUGGGCUCGCUAUAUUAUUGAAAUAUGUCUUUGCUAGGUGGCUCUGGAGAUACACGCAAGAAGAAAAUCCCCUCUGGAAGAAGGUGUUCAAAUCCAUUUUUGGGAAGAUAGUUUGGUUGACCAAGAUACAUUACAGAAUUGCUUUCCGGAUUUUUCUGUGAUUUCUAGCAAAGAAGGUGCUUCUAUUUCUGAGUGUUGGGACAACAACAAAAAAGUUGGAAUUUGGGCCACACAUGGGGUCUCUUUGACAGGGAACUAAAUAGUUGGGGUGAUAAUAGAAAAUUUGACUUCGGUUCAGUGAGUUGGAUGGCCUGAUCGAGCCUUUUAGCCCCUUGAGGGCUAAGGUUGUUAUUCUUUGAAGUCAGCCUGCAUAUGUGUUUCUAAAAAUACUAGAAAGGUAAAAUCCCCUUGACCGCGUUGGUUUGGAGAAGCAAAUGGACGCAGAAAGUAGAACUUUUCGGUCCUUUGGCAUUUAGAAGCCUUGAUACGAGAUGAUUCAGAAAAAAGGUUUCAAGUCUUGGGCUCUUUCUCAGUUGGGGUGCAUAUUAUGCUUGAAAGAGGGGGAAGAUAUAAACUACUUUUUUCUCCAUUGGUUGUUGGCAUUUCAGGCUUGAACUUUAAUUUUUAGAAGUUAGGGAUUGGGACUUGUCCUCUCCGGAGGAUUGAUGAUUGGCUUGUGGAAGGCAUAAGUGCUUUGAAUUUGUCAAGCAAAGCUAGGAUUUUGGGUUGCUAUGCUAUGAUAGAUUCUUUGUGGCAGAUUUGGCUCGAAAUCUAUAUUUUCAAGAUAAGUUUCCUAAUUUUGAUUCUUUUUGUAUUCUUUACGGUUCUUGAUGGGCCUCUUUACAUUCAAAGUUCUUUUAUCAGCUAUUGGAAACCGCUUGUUAAGUAGUUCCCCUGGACGGAAUUUCCUCUUCCCUUAGUAGUGUUGUCUUUUAUUGUCUUUUUACCUUCCCUUGUGUGGAUCUAUAUCUAUCUAUCUAUAUGUGUAUAUAUAGUGAAUGGAAUAGAGUAUUCUGAUUCUCUCAAACCUUUAGCAUUUACAUGGCAAUAGAGAGCUAGGUUAAUUGGAUUUUUUUUGUUAACCUAGGGAUUUUUUUUUUUUUUUUUUUUUUUUUUUUUUUUAACCUAUGGUUUUGUGAACCUUAGAUUUUGGAGUUUGGGUCAGAGAUUUCUGUCUAGACAUGUUGUAUCUGUGCAUCUACUCAUAACUUUGAAAAUUUCAUUACGAUUUCUGCAGAGGAGUUUGCUAAAUUUCAACCAUAUCAAGUGUCAUUAUUGACAUUAUAUUCUACUCCAGUUACUGCUAUCACAAAGACUGUAACGCUUCUAUAUGCCUUCUUCCUCCACCUUGAAAUGAGCCAUUGACUUUGGUGCUACCAAUCAUAUGACAGGCAAUCCCAAUUUAUUCCCUAAUCUUCUUUUUAAAAUUUUUUUGUCUACCUUUUCACCUAAUGUUACCAUAGAUGAAAAAACUACAUCUCCAGUUUGGGUCUGACGCAAUGAAUCUUACCAAAUCAAUUUCAUUGUCGUUUGGUUUAAAUUUACCACAGUUAUCUUUUGAUCUCUAUUAGUAAAUUCGCUUGCAAUCUUAAUUCUUGCAUCUUAUUCAUUCCUGGUCAUUGCUUAAUGCUUAGUUUAGGAUCUUACAACGAAGAAGACUAUUGGUAGUGGGCGUGAAUUUGAAGGUCUCUGCAUCUUUAAACCACAAGUAUCUAUAGCCAUCAUAUGCUCUAGAGUGUCCACUUAGCCGCCAUCACAUGCUCUAGAGUGCCUCCUUCCUUUGAAGAAUAUUUCCAUUUGGGUCAUUUGUCUAUCUCAAUAUUGAAGACUCUCGUCCUCAAUUUGAUCAUUUGUGAAUGCAAAAAAAAAAUGGAUGUCUGCAGUAUGGUCCGCUCAACAAAGGAUCAUAUGUUUUUGGUAAAUAGUCGUUUUUUAGUUUCGUUAGAUUAUGUGUCAUGUUAGUUUGCUAAGUUUUAACAUAUGAGUUUGUAUCCAAUAGUCAAUACAUGAGCUAGUGCUCUUAUUGAGUCAUAGAGGGUCUCAGUAUUUUUUUACCUUUGUUGACGAUUAUUCUCGUGUUACUUGGUUAUUUUUAAUGAAAAGCCAUUCUAAGUUGAUUUCUUAUUUUCAUAACAUUCAUCGGUAAAUUCGAAAUCAACCAGUUGUGAAUGCAAAAAAAUGGAUUUGUCUGCAGUAUGGUCCGCUCAACAAAGGAUCAUAUGUUUUUGGUAAAUAGUCGUUUUAGUUUCGUUAGAUUAUGUGUCAUGUUAGUUUGCUAAGUUUUAACAUAUGAGUUUGUAUCCAAUAGUCAAUACAUGAGCUAGUGCUCUUAUUGAGUCAUAGAGGGUUUCAGUAUUUUUUUACCUUUGUUGACGAUUAUUCUCGUGUUACUUGGUUAUUUUUAAUGAAAAGUCAUUCUAAGUUGAUUUCUUAUUUUCAUAACAUUCAUCGGUAAAUUCGAAAUCAACCAGUUCUUUUAAAGUCCUACGGUGUGUAAUGCUAAGAAAUAUUUCUAAAAAAGAGAUACUCCUUAUACAAUUAAUUUUGUAAUUAAGGGUAUUCAUGACACCCAACGUUUGCCGUUGAAUGAAAAGUUAACUCAAGAAAUGAGACAAAUGAGUUGGCUCGAUUGGAGGGGUUCAACAACAUUUUCUUGAUUAGAGGCAGUGUCUUGAGCAGCAUCCCAAAUCUCUUUGAUAGUUGAAAGUAGGAGAAAAUUAUCUCUAAUCUUAGUGCUCAUGGAGUUGAUUAACUAGCUCAUAACUUGAUUGUUCUUGUGGAUCGUCGAGUUUGGGUUAUAAGAUUCUUUACCUGUGAUAUAAUCUUCUCAUCCACAGACCGUACAUGAACAUCAUCACGAUUGUGAACUCUGAAGGUAGUUGUGGCCUUGGAGUUUGUGGCAUGUUAUUUGCAUACUGUUGCUCUCAGUGAAGGGGAAAAUGAUAUUUUGCGAUUCUGAUCCUUACAAGAUUUAAAAGAAAAAAAAAGAAAAAAAAAAGAAAAAAAAGAGAAGAGGAAAUGAAGCAAUGGGGAAAAACAGACGUGAGGUCAUUGUGAAAAGAAAGUGCAUGGCGACGACUGAUGAUGAUGGCAAUGACAACAACAAAGGAGGUUUUUAUUCUAAAUGAACCCCCCCCCCCC